This 279-nucleotide ribosomal RNA is filed under the name uncultured bacterium. RNAcentral's name for it is "partial 16S ribosomal RNA". It matches the Rfam family "Bacterial small subunit ribosomal RNA", at positions 780 to 1058 of the family's 1533-position model. The record is from RNAcentral.
AGAUACCCGGGUAGUCCACGCCGUAAACGAUGUCUACUUGGAGGUUGUGGCCUUGAGCCGUGGCUUUCGGAGCUAACGCGUUAAGUAGACCGCCUGGGGAGUACGGUCGCAAGAUUAAAACUCAAAUGAAUUGACGGGGGCCCGCACAAGCGGUGGAGCAUGUGGUUUAAUUCGAUGCAACGCGAAGAACCUUACCUACUCUUGACAUCCAGAGAAGCCAGCGGAGACGCAGGUGUGCCUUCGGGAGCUCUGGGACAGGUGCUGCAUGGCCGCCGUCAG